UGGAAAUUACAGGUUCAGGCAGUUAAAAGAUGAAGAGAAGAAGAAGAAAGUAAGCAAGGCGUUGAUAGCAGAAGAAGUUCAGGCUCUAGAUUCAGCAUCUGAUUCUGAUGGGGAAUCAGAUGAUGAGACAAAGGGCAAGGGUGAUGAAACUCUUGAAGUAUAUGCUUCCAAUGACAGAAAACAAGUUCCUAAUAUUUCUCAGCCAAGACGAAGCAAGAGAUCUAAGCAGAAGCGUGCUGUAUAAGAAGAUUGUACACUGAAAGCUUAUGGUGAGUCUUGUAUAUCUAAAGGAAUUGUAUUAUUUUUAAUGUAGUGGCAAUUUUGAUGUAGUCUUAUUCAAGAUAUAUUGCAAAAUCAUGAAGACAACAGUCUUAUUAAAAAAAA
Hibiscus syriacus is the source of this 384-nucleotide long non-coding RNA. RefSeq lists it as uncharacterized. NCBI's taxonomy places the organism in Eukaryota, Viridiplantae, Streptophyta, Magnoliopsida, Malvales, Malvaceae. The record is from RefSeq and is a predicted model, not a curated record. The transcript is spliced from 2 exons.